RNAcentral lists this ribosomal RNA (492 nucleotides) under uncultured bacterium. Its description in RNAcentral is "partial 16S ribosomal RNA". It matches the Rfam family "Bacterial small subunit ribosomal RNA", at positions 29 to 507 of the family's 1533-position model. The record is from RNAcentral.
AGUGAACGCUGGCGGUAGGCCUAACACAUGCAAGUCGAACGGCAGCACAGUGAGAGCUUGCUCUUACGGGUGGCGAGUGGCGGACGGGUGAGGAAUACAUCGGAAUCUACUUUUUCGUGGGGGAUAACGUAGGGAAACUUACGCUAAUACCGCAUACGACCUACGGGUGAAAGCAGGGGAUCUUCGGACCUUGCGCGAUUGAAUGCGCCGAUGUCGGAUUAGCUAGUUGGCGGGGUAAAGGCCCACCAAGGCGACGAUCCGUAGCUGGUCUGAGAGGAUGAUCAGCCACACUGGAACUGAGACACGGUCCAGACUCCUACGGGAGGCAGCAGUGGGGAAUAUUGGACAAUGGGCGCAAGCCUGAUCCAGCCAUACCGCGUGGGUGAAGAAGGCCUUCGGGUUGUAAAGCCCUUUUGUUGGGAAAGAAAAGCAGCAGGUUAAUACCCCGCUGUUCUGACGGUACCCAAAGAAUAAGCACCGGCUAACUUCGUG